UACGAAGGGGACUAGCGUUGUUCGGAAUCACUGGGCGUAAAGCGCACGCAGGCGGCUUGAUAAGUCAGGGGUGAAAUCCCGGGGCUCAACCUCGGAAUUGCCUUUGAUACUGUCUGUCUUGAGUUCGGGAGAGGUUGGCGGAAUUCCUAGUGUAGAGGUGAAAUUCGUAGAUAUUAGGAAGAACACCAGUGGCGAAGGCGGCUAACUGGCCCGAUACUGACGCUCAGGUGCGAAAGCGUGGGGAGCAAACAGG
This 253-nucleotide ribosomal RNA is filed under the name uncultured bacterium. Its description in RNAcentral is "partial 16S ribosomal RNA". It matches the Rfam family "Bacterial small subunit ribosomal RNA", at positions 524 to 776 of the family's 1533-position model. The record is from RNAcentral.